RNAcentral lists this ribosomal RNA (434 nucleotides) under uncultured Lachnospiraceae bacterium. Its description in RNAcentral is "partial 16S ribosomal RNA". It matches the Rfam family "Bacterial small subunit ribosomal RNA", at positions 341 to 792 of the family's 1533-position model. The record is from RNAcentral. Lineage: Bacteria; Bacillati; Bacillota; Clostridia; Lachnospirales; Lachnospiraceae.
ACGGAAGGCAGCAGUGGGGAAUAUUGGACAAUGGGGGAAACCCUGAUCCAGCGACGCCGCGUGAGUGAAGAAGUAUUUCGGUAUGUAAAGCUCUAUCAGCAAGGAAGAAAAUGACGGUACUUGACUAAGAAGCUCCGGCUAAAUACGUGCCAGCAGCCGCGGUAAUACGUAUGGAGCAAGCGUUAUCCGGAUUUACUGGGUGUAAAGGGAGCGUAGGCGGCAAAGCAAGUCUGAAGUGAAAUCCCGGGGCUCAACCCCGGAACUGCUUUGGAAACUGUUUAGCUAGAGUGCAGGAGAGGUAAGCGGAAUUCCUAGUGUAGCGGUGAAAUGCGCAGAUAUUAGGAGGAACACCAGUGGCGAAGGCGGCUUACUGGACUGUAACUGACGUUGAGGCUCGAAAGCGUGGGGAGCAAACAGGAUUAGAUACCCUGGUA